Molecule: RNA transcript, 5216 nt
Organism: Diabrotica virgifera virgifera (western corn rootworm)
Lineage: Eukaryota; Metazoa; Arthropoda; Insecta; Coleoptera; Chrysomelidae
Gene: c12.2
Gene name: von Willebrand factor A domain-containing protein 8
Exons: 2
Source: RefSeq, a predicted model, not a curated record
GCAUGUUCGUCAAACAACAUGAUCUCUGUUAUAACUGCCUUGGUUCAAGUCAUUCCGUUCCAAAAUGUCUAAGUAGACAACUUGUUCCCACUGCGGUGGCAAGCACCAUAGCUAUUUACAUUUUGAUAUGAGAAAAAAUUCUUCUUCUCCCCAACGUGAUCCAAUAAAUCCAAACACGUACAAUGAACUAACUAAUUCAAAUAAUAGACCUUCUACUUCACAAAAUCAGGAUAGGGACAACACGCACCCAUCUCAAUCUUCUAUGUCACACGUGUUGUCAGCUAAUACGGUCAACACACCUGUUGUCCUUCUAAGUACCAUACAGGUAUACCUCCUUGCCCCCAGUGGGAAAAGAAUUUAUGUAAAGGCGCUUCUCGAUCAAGCAAGUCAAGUUACAUUUGUUACACAAAAUCUUAUUAAUCAGCUAAGCACUCCCACCUUUAACAAGCAGUUACAGAUCACCGGAGUAAAUCAAACUGUCUCGGUUUCCAAAUCAACGGCUAAUCUGACUAUCUAUUCUUCCACAAAUGAUUCAAGGUUGGACAUUUCUUGUUCCAUUCUACCUAAAAUUACAAACUGUCUGCCACAAUUGCCAAUUAUUGCCAACAAACUAAAAAUUCCACAAGAAAUGGAACUUGCUGACUCUCAAUUCCAUAUCACUUCAGACAUUGAUAUUUUACUCGGUGCUGAUUACUAUGGAGAUAUUAUACUAGGUCAAAUUAUUCGUUUAGGUACUGGUCUACCAAUUCUGCAGAACACUAUAUUCGGUUUUAUCAUCUCUGGCCGCAUUCCUGAAAAUUGUAUAAAAAGCAAGCAUGGUACCUCUCAAUAUGUAAAUAAUUUGGUUACAUGUACGACACUGUCUUCUACUCCAGAAUCACCUGAAUCUCAAACCACUGAUGAAAAUCUCUCUCAGAUUGUUCAAAAAUUCUGGGAAUCCGAAGAAGUCAACCCUCCUAUUUCUGAAUCUGUUGAAAAUCAUCCAUCUGAAUUACUUUUUCUGAAAACUGUUAAGAUUUUGCCUUCAGGUCGAUAUCAAGUUAAUCUAAACUUAAAACACUCUGUUGAUGACCUACACAUGGGAAAUUCCUUUAUCACAGCUAAAAAACGAUUCUUUUAUUUGGAGAAAAAAUUGCAUUCAGACCCUGUCCUGUUGCAAAGCUAUUCUAAAAUUAUUCAAGAUUACCAUUCUCAAGGUUUAGUCUCAGACGUUCCUCUUCAAGUAAGAAAUUUUGACGGAAAAUUCAAUUAUUUUCUGCCUCACUUUCCUAUAAUAAAAACAAGCUCCACCACUCCCGUGAGAAUUGUCUUUGAUCCCAACAACAAGUCCACAUCAGGUAUUUGUUUAAAUCAGGUUCUAGAUAAAGGCUUCACGGUGCAACCAGAACUUUUUGAUAUCUUAAUCACUUUUCGCCACUACAAGUAUAUACUAGCAGCUGACAUUAAGCAUAUGUUUCUGCAAAUUUCCAUAAAUGAACAAGAAACUUUCCUUCUCAACUUUCUAUGGAGGGAUAAACAGGAUGACAAACUUCAGUGUUUUCGUUUCAACCGAUUACCCUUUGGUUUAUCCUCGUCCCCUUUCUUAGCCACUCGUGUAUUAAAACACAUUGCUGAUACUCAUGCAAUUUCACAUCCAUCUGCGGCAAAAACCUUGCUCAACUCUACCUAUAUGGACGAUGUACUAUCUGGUGGUAACAAUUUAGAAGAAAUUGAGACUCUCCACUUUCAGUUAAGUUCCUUGUUGAGUAAGCACGGCUUUCAGCUCCAUAAAUUAAGCUCGAACCAUCCAGAAUUUCUUAAAAAACAUAAGUUGAUUCCAACUCCAGAAAUUAAGUUAAACCUGGCUGGUUCCUCAGACAAGAUAUUAGGUAUUAUUUGGUCACCUGAUCAGGAUACUUUUUCAUUCAAGCCUCCUGUAUGCGAGGUAACAUCGCCAAUUACUAAGAGAAAAAUUCUUAGUUAUGUCUCUCGUUUAUUCGACCCUUUAGGGCUUCUUUCACCAACUCUUGUAUAUUCAAAACUUCUGUUGCAAAGGAUUUGGUCAUUGUCACUAGAUUGGGACACCCCCAUUACCAAUGAUAAAAUUCUUUCUGAUUGGCAAUCUCUUCUAACGAAAUUCCAAUCCAUAAAUCUAACAAAAUUUCCUAGAUGCUUAGUCCUAGAUAAAAAGGUUAUCUUAACUCAGCUUAUUACCUUCUGUGAUGCUUCUCAGGACAUCUACGCUGCCUGCGUGUAUCUCCGAGUCACUUAUGACGACUCUACCGUCUCGGUGAGACUUGUCACAUCCAAGACAAAAAUCGCUCCCCUAAAAAACAAACUAACUAUCCCAAGAUUAGAGCUGUCCGCCAUUCUAUUAGGAAUCCAGUUAACUCACCGCUCACAAGGUAUCUUACAGAAAGAUUUAAAAAUUUCUGAAACUCAUCUCUUCUCGGACAGUACAAUAGCCCUGACCUGGGUAACUACAUCUAAGUUUCUCUACAAUCAGUUUGUACAGUCUCGAGUCAUAAAGAUACGUUCCCUCAGUGAAUCUUAUCAAUUUCACCACGUUGAGUCGAAACAAAAUCCAGCGGAUCUGCCCUCCAGAGCAAAAUCUAUUUGUUCUAAUGCUGAACUUACUGAUCUGUGGCUUCAUGGUCCGAAAUUUCUAAUUAAACCGGAAAUCGAUUACUCACUAUUUCAGAUUAAAAAAUGGAAUGGGGAAUUACCUGAAUUAAGAAAAAAUCAAGUUUCCUUAAAUGUCACUGUUACUGCUCAGUCAAAUGACACCUUGGAUGAUUUAUUUAAUCGUUGUUCAUCUUUCACAAAAAUUCAAAGAUCCCUAGCCUAUGUUCUUAGAUUUGUUUCCAAUCUUAAAGCAAAAUCAAAUCACACUGCUAUAGAUACUGAUGUACUUUCCGUGGAGGAAAUUGAAUUUUCUACUUGCCUUGUUCUCAAGUAUAUUCAAUCCAUUUCUUUCACUAAGGAGAUUCAUGAAUUGUCCAAACGGCUGUCUGUCUCCAAUAAAGCCAUCAGAGCCCUGAAUCCCUUUAUCGAUGAAAAUGAUAAACUGUUACGAGUAGGUGGCAGGUUACGUUUCGCUUCCAUAAGCUAUUCACAAAAGCAUCCAAUUCUCCUUCCUUCUAAGAAUCGUAUUAUUGCUCUGAUGAUUGAACAGCAACACAAAAAGCUGUGCCACGCAGGCGCACAAACCACUUUAUCUCAUAUACGAUUGAAAUACUGGCCCCUUGAUGGUCUUCGACAAACCAAGAAAGUCAUUCAUAAUUGCAUCAAUUGUUUUAGAUUCAUGACUCCUAAUUAUUUUCAACAAAUGGCAGAUGUUCAUCCAGAUCGUGUCUUAUCUAGCCGACCUUUCGAAAGAGUCUCCAUUGACUAUGGUGGAUUUUUUCUUGUCAAAGCCUCGCCUUUAAAAAAUGCUAAACUCUAUAAAGUAUAUAUCGCUUUUUUCAUUUGUAUGACCACCAAAUGUGUUCAUUUAGAACUGGUCACUGGACUGUCUGCUGAUGCAUUUCUUCUUACCCUCAAGAGGUUUAUCGCUAGAAGGUCAACUCCCAGCAUCAUUUGGUCAGACAACGCGACCAACUUCUACGGUGGUCGUAAUCAAUUAAAACAACUUCAUGAAUUUUUUCUAAAUCAGGAUAAUACUCGUCAAAUUCAAGACUUCUGUACCCAGAAUUUUAUUAAAUUUAAGUUUGGCGUUCCUCGUAAUCCCUCUCAAUUCGGACUACAUGAAGUUGGCAUCAAGAGUGCUAAGUACCAUUUAUAUAGGUUGAUUGGGAAUUCCCACUUUACUUUUGAGAUAUUCUAUACAAUUCUCUGUCAAGUUGAAGCUAUCCUUAAUUCUAGACCUAUUACCAAACUCUCUAAUGACGUCAAUGACCUAACAGCUUUGACCCCAGGUCAUUUCUUAGUAGGACAGAGCUUGACUGCACCUCCUGAGCCUACACUUUCUGAUAUACCUCAAAACCGUCUCACUAUUUAUCAACAAGUGAGCCGGAUCCAACAGAAUUUUUGGCAACGGUGGAAAGUGGAUUACUUGAAUCUUCUCCAACACCGACCAAAAUGGACGGUACCUACCAAUCCUGUACAAGUAGGUGAUAUUGUCUUAUUAAAAGACGACAAUACACCUCCUCUACUUUGGCCAUUGGCAAAAGUGACCGAGGUACUCCCUGGUAGGGACAAUCUCAUUCGCACAGUCAGGGUUCAUUCCGCCAACGGCGACUACUUGCGAGCUAUUAGAAAGAUUGCAGUAUUACCAUGCAAUUACUAGUUCAGUAAUUUUUAUUUAAUUUUUUGUCUUUCUAGGUUAGUCGUUUAGGUAAACUCAUUAAUUUUUAUUGAUUUUCAAUCCUUUAUGCGUUAGAUACUAAUUAUAAUAAAUAUGUUACUUAGCUAAAAAAAAAAAAAAAAAAAAAAAAAAAAAAAAAAAAAAAAAAUCACUAGUUGUUACGAGGGUAUCUCAGAAUGUUUCAAUUUUUAUAUUUCACUUUCUAUAUUAUUAACACUACUACAUAACCAGAGGCGUACUCGCUCAUGGCGCCCCCCGGCAAUAUGUUAAAAUACAAAUUUUAACCAGCGUCCAAAAUAAUAAUUUCAGACGCUCCCUCGUAAAAUAACCCCUAAGUGAACCGCAGACUCUAGCGGCGUAUAUAAGUAUUAUUUUUUCUGGCGCGAAGCGUUCCUCCCUUCCCGAAAAGACUUAACCACGUUGCAUCGAUCACUUUCUUCUUCAAUCUCGAGGAGUGAAUAACUAAAAACACUUCUCAUUAACGGGUCCGCGUCAUCCACGUGAAAAAUUUACCGCCAAAAAAAAAAUUCUACCGGCUUUACUGAGCCAAAAGUGCGUAAAAUAGUGCGCGUAUCUAUGUGUUUAUAAAACAGUUUUUCGCAAACCGUAUGUAGGUUACCUCAAACAGCUACACAAGGAUACCUAUCUGGCCAGAUAAGAAAAACAACCAGAAGCAACCACAACGCAGGAUCAUGAUGACAUUCCAAAGAGCAGUUUACACCAUUUAAAAUGGAUGCUACAGAAAGAACUUUUAAAUCAGGAUAUAUUUCUUUUGGGGCCGCCAGGGCCCAGAAGAAGACAUUUAGCUAUGCAGUUUUUAGAAUUGACCAACAGGGAACAUGAAUAUGUAGCACUCAGUAGGGACACUACAGAAUCUGAUUUAAAGCAGAGGAGAGAAAUUGUUCAAGGAACAGCCAACUAUUUUGAUCAG